Molecule: long non-coding RNA, 424 nt
Organism: Etheostoma cragini (Arkansas darter)
Lineage: Eukaryota; Metazoa; Chordata; Actinopteri; Perciformes; Percidae
Exons: 3
Source: RefSeq, a predicted model, not a curated record
GUGUGUGUGUCUGUGUGUUAGUGUCAUGUGAACAUCCUGUCCUGGUCUAACCCGUCCCACGUGUCCUCUGAUUGGUCCUCAGCCUGUAACCCCAACGCGUGCCGCGCGGUGGGCAGAGGUCUGCAGCCCAAGGGCCUGAGGGUCCGAGAGGGGGCCGAUUUCAGGGUCUACACCAGGGGGGCCGGCAGCGGAGACCUUCAGGUCACCGUGAGGGGACCAAAGGGCGUGGAGGAGCCGGUGAAGGUCAUCGCCGGGGACAACGGGACGUUCGAGUGUAAUUAUUACCCAAUCACAAUGGGACAAUACAUCGUCUCCGUCACCUGGGGAGGACACAGCGUCCCCCGCAGUCCCUUUGAGGUACAGGUGAGCGAGGAGGCGGGGCCCCAGAAGGUUCGGGCCUGGGGCCCCGGUCUGGAGACGGGGG